RNAcentral lists this ribosomal RNA (923 nucleotides) under Providencia rettgeri. RNAcentral's name for it is "partial 23S ribosomal RNA". It matches the Rfam family "Bacterial large subunit ribosomal RNA", at positions 914 to 1722 of the family's 2925-position model. Lineage: Bacteria; Pseudomonadati; Pseudomonadota; Gammaproteobacteria; Enterobacterales; Morganellaceae. The record is from RNAcentral.
UUCGACUAGGGGGUCAUCCCGACUUACCAACUCGAUGCAAACUACGAAUACCGAAGAAUGUUAUCACGGGAGACACACGGCGGGUGCUAACGUUCGUCGUGAAGAGGGAAACAACCCAGACCGCCAGCUAAGGUCCCAAAGUCAUAGUUAAGUGGGAAACGAAGUGGGAAGGCUCAGACAGCCAGGAUGUUGGCUUAGAAGCAGCCAUCAUUUAAAGAAAGCGUAAUAGCUCACUGGUCGAGUCGGCCUGCGCGGAAGAUGUAACGGGGCUAAACUAUGCACCGAAGCUGCGGCAGCGAACGUAUCACUUAAACUGAUUAAGUGAUACUCAAAUGUAUCAAAACGAUUGACGGAGCGAAGCGACGUCAAUGCGUCCAACAAAGUCGAGGCGGAAACGUCAGGCAGUCAGUUUAAGGAUACGUUCGUUGGGUAGGGGAGCGUUCUGUAAGCCUGUGAAGGUGUGCUGUGAGGCAUGCUGGAGGUAUCAGAAGUGCGAAUGCUGACAUAAGUAACGAUAAUGCGGGUGAAAAACCCGCACGCCGGAAGACCAAGGGUUCCUGUCCAACGUUAAUCGGGGCAGGGUGAGUCGACCCCUAAGGCGAGGCAGAAAUGCGUAGUCGAUGGGAAACGGGUUAAUAUUCCCGUACUGGUGAUAAUUGCGAUGGGGGGACGGAGAAGGCUAGGCUAUCCGGGCGACGGUUGUCCCGGUUUAAGGAUGUAGGCAGGUGAAUUAGGCAAAUCCGGUUCACUAUAUGCUGAGGUCCGACGACGAGUCACUACGGUGAUGAAGUAGCUCAUGCCCCGCUUCCAGGAAAAGCCUCUAAGCUCUAGAUUAUCAUUAAUCGUACCCCAAACCGACACAGGUGGUCAGGUAGAGAAUACUCAGGCGCUUGAGAGAACUCGGGUGAAGGAACUAGGCAAAA